Molecule: ribosomal RNA, 730 nt
Filed under: bacterium SCSIO13299
Lineage: Bacteria
Description: bacterial SSU rRNA
Rfam family: Bacterial small subunit ribosomal RNA
Source: RNAcentral
AGGAGCUUGCUCCUCUGACGUUAGCGGCGGACGGGUGAGUAACACGUGGAUAACCUACCUAUAAGACUGGGAUAACUUCGGGAAACCGGAGCUAAUACCGGAUAACAUGUUGAACCGCAUGGUUCAACAGUGAAAGACGGUCUUGCUGUCACUUAUAGAUGGAUCCGCGCCGCAUUAGCUAGUUGGUAAGGUAACGGCUUACCAAGGCAACGAUGCGUAGCCGACCUGAGAGGGUGAUCGGCCACACUGGAACUGAGACACGGUCCAGACUCCUACGGGAGGCAGCAGUAGGGAAUCUUCCGCAAUGGGCGAAAGCCUGACGGAGCAACGCCGCGUGAGUGAAGAAGGUCUUCGGAUCGUAAAACUCUGUUAUUAGGGAAGAACAAAUGUGUAAGUAACUAUGCACGUCUUGACGGUACCUAAUCAGAAAGCCACGGCUAACUACGUGCCAGCAGCCGCGGUAAUACGUAGGUGGCAAGCGUUAUCCGGAAUUAUUGGGCGUAAAGCGCGCGUAGGCGGUUUUUUAAGUCUGAUGUGAAAGCCCACGGCUCAACCGUGGAGGGUCAUUGGAAACUGGAAAACUUGAGUGCAGAAGAGGAAAGUGGAAUUCCAUGUGUAGCGGUGAAAUGCGCAGAGAUAUGGAGGAACACCAGUGGCGAAGGCGACUUUCUGGUCUGUAACUGACGCUGAUGUGCGAAAGCGUGGGGAUCAAACAGGAUUAGAUACCCUG